Long non-coding RNA from Larimichthys crocea (large yellow croaker), 346 nucleotides. RefSeq lists it as uncharacterized. The transcript is spliced from 4 exons. The record is from RefSeq and is a predicted model, not a curated record. NCBI's taxonomy places the organism in Eukaryota, Metazoa, Chordata, Actinopteri, Sciaenidae.
UAACAAACUGUCUGUCUGCUCGUCUGUCUGUCUCUCAGGUGGAGCUGCUUCACAGUCUGGUCUAUCAAACUUUGGAGUACAUCAAUGACAAGAACAAGAAGAGGAACAAACAGACGGUGUCUGAGGAGGACGGAGGAGACGGAGCGGGCGUAGACGACGACGACGCUGAUCUCGCUUUCACUCCGUUAGACCUCGACACCUCCGAAGACUCACAGCAGACCGACUGCACCACGUUGUCCAGUGUCGCUCCUCUCCAUCCAGAGUCUCUGAUUCCUCCUGAAACUACAGAGAAGAACAAACUUCCUCUCAUCAGGUUUGUUCAUAUUUUGAUAUUUUGAUUCAUUAG